AGAGUUUGAUCAUGGCUCAGAGCGAACGCUGGCGGCAGGCUUAACACAUGCAAGUCGAGCGGGUGUAGCAAUACAUCAGCGGCAGACGGGUGAGUAACGCGUGGGAACAUACCUUUUGGUUCGGAACAACCCAGGGAAACUUGGGCUAAUACCGGAUAAGCCCUUACGGGGAAAGAUUUAUCGCCGAAAGAUUGGCCCGCGUCUGAUUAGCUAGUUGGUGAGGUAAUGGCUCACUAAGGCGACGAUCAGUAGCUGGUCUGAGAGGAUGAUCAGCCACAUUGGGACUGAGACACGGCCCAAACUCCUACGGGAGGCAGCAGUGGGGAAUAUUGGACAAUGGGGGCAACCCUGAUCCAGCCAUGCCGCGUGAGUGAUGAAGGCCCUAGGGUUGUAAAGCUCUUUUGUGCGGGAAGAUAAUGACGGUACCGCAAGAAUAAGCCCCGGCUAACUUCGUGCCAGCAGCCGCGGUAAUACGAAGGGGGCUAGCGUUGCUCGGAAUCACUGGGCGUAAAGGGUGCGUAGGCGGGUCUUUAAGUCAGGGGUGAAAUCCUGGAGCUCAACUCCAGAACUGCCUUUGAUACUGAGGAUCUUGAGUCCGGGAGAGGUGAGUGGAACUGCGAGUGUAGAGGUGAAAUUCGUAGAUAUUCGCAAGAACACCAGUGGCGAAGGCGGCUCACUGGCCCGGUACUGACGCUGAGGCACGAAAGCGUGGGGAGCAAACAGGAUUAGAUACCCUAGUAGUCC
RNAcentral lists this ribosomal RNA (744 nucleotides) under uncultured bacterium. Its description in RNAcentral is "bacterial SSU rRNA". It matches the Rfam family "Bacterial small subunit ribosomal RNA", at positions 8 to 796 of the family's 1533-position model. The record is from RNAcentral.